UACAGAGGGUGCGAGCGUUGUUCGGAAUUAUUGGGCGUAAAGGGCGCGUAGGCGGUGCGGUAAGUCACCUGUGAAAUCUCCUGGCUCAACUGGGAGCUUGCAGGCGAAACUGCCGUGCUGGAGUGUGGGAGAGGUGCGUGGAAUUCCUGGUGUAGCGGUGAAAUGCGUAGAUAUCAGGAGGAACACCUGUGGCGAAGGCGGCCGCCUGGGCCUGGCCUGACGCUGAGGCGCGAAAGCGUGGGGAGCGAUCCGG
This 253-nucleotide ribosomal RNA is filed under the name uncultured bacterium. RNAcentral describes it as "partial 16S ribosomal RNA". It matches the Rfam family "Bacterial small subunit ribosomal RNA", at positions 524 to 776 of the family's 1533-position model. The record is from RNAcentral.